AAAUAUGAAGCAAAAAAUUGCAUUUAGUUUCGACCUAAAAGUAUGGCUUUAACGGCCCUUAUUUA
This 65-nucleotide transfer RNA is filed under the name Lachnaia pubescens. Its description in RNAcentral is "tRNA-Arg". Lineage: Eukaryota; Metazoa; Arthropoda; Insecta; Coleoptera; Chrysomelidae. The record is from RNAcentral.